AGCGGGUUAGUGUAAUAGAAACAUAUUCGGUUCAUGCCCGAAAGAUAUAGGUGCAAGUCCUGUAUCCGCGUUUUUU
This 76-nucleotide transfer RNA is filed under the name Trichoderma afroharzianum. RNAcentral's name for it is "tRNA-Met". It matches the Rfam family "tRNA". From Rfam's summary of the family: Transfer RNA (tRNA) molecules are approximately 80 nucleotides in length. Their secondary structure includes four short double-helical elements and three loops (D, anti-codon, and T loops). Lineage: Eukaryota; Fungi; Ascomycota; Sordariomycetes; Hypocreales; Hypocreaceae. The record is from RNAcentral.